RNAcentral lists this ribosomal RNA (506 nucleotides) under uncultured bacterium. Its description in RNAcentral is "partial 16S ribosomal RNA". It matches the Rfam family "Bacterial small subunit ribosomal RNA", at positions 29 to 523 of the family's 1533-position model. The record is from RNAcentral.
AGUGAACGCUGGCGGUAGGCCUAACACAUGCAAGUCGAACGGCAGCACAGGAGAGCUUGCUCUCUGGGUGGCGAGUGGCGGACGGGUGAGGAAUACAUCGGAAUCUACUCUGUCGUGGGGGAUAACGUAGGGAAACUUACGCUAAUACCGCAUACGACCUACGGGUGAAAGCAGGGGACCUUCGGGCCUUGCGCGAUUGAAUGAGCCGAUGUCGGAUUAGCUAGUUGGCGGGGUAAAGGCCCACCAAGGCGACGAUCCGUAGCUGGUCUGAGGGGAUGAGCAGCCACACUGGAACUGAGACACAGUCCAGACUCCUACGGGAGGCAGCAGUGGGGAAUAUUGGACAAUGGGCGCAAGCCUGAUCCAGCCAUACCGCGUGGGUGAAGAAGGCCUUCGGGUUGUAAAGCCCUUUUGUUGGGAAAGAAAUCCAGCUGGCUAAUACCCGGUUGGGAUGACGGUACCCAAAGAAUAAGCACCGGCUAACUUCGUGCCAGCCGCCGCCGUAA